UGGGGAAUAUUGCACAAUGGGCGCAAGCCUGAUGCAGCCAUGCCGCGUGUAUGAAGAAGGCCUUCGGGUUGUAAAGUACUUUUAGCGGGGAGGAAGGGAGUAAAGUUAAUACCUUUGCUCAUUGACGUUACCCGCAGAAGAAGCACCGGCUAACUCCGUGCCAGCAGCCGCGGUAAUACGGAGGGUGCAAGCGUUAAUCGGAAUUACUGGGCGUAAAGCGCACGCAGGCGGUUUGUUAAGUCAGAUGUGAAAUCCCCGGGCUCAACCUGGGAACUGCAUCUGAUACUGGCAAGCUUGAGUCUCGUAGAGGGGGGUAGAAUUCCAGGUGUAGCGGUGAAAUGCGUAGAGAUCUGGAGGAAUACCGGUGGCGAAGGCGGCCCCCUGGACGAAGACUGACGCUCAGGUGCGAAAGCGUGGGGAGCAAACAGG
RNAcentral lists this ribosomal RNA (429 nucleotides) under Chloroflexota bacterium. RNAcentral describes it as "Chloroflexi bacterium partial 16S ribosomal RNA". It matches the Rfam family "Bacterial small subunit ribosomal RNA", at positions 355 to 776 of the family's 1533-position model. Lineage: Bacteria; Bacillati; Chloroflexota. The record is from RNAcentral.